This is an RNA transcript of Taeniopygia guttata (zebra finch), 3237 nucleotides long. It is a transcript of the gene named septin 6, with no coding region annotated. The record is from RefSeq and is a predicted model, not a curated record. NCBI's taxonomy places the organism in Eukaryota, Metazoa, Chordata, Aves, Passeriformes, Estrildidae.
CGCGCGGGGCCGCGGUGGGCGCGCCCGGAGCCGCCCGCAGGCCGGGGCGGAACGUGCGGCGGGCGCGCAGCGAUGGCGGCGGCCGAGGUGGCGCGGCAGGGUGAAGGCUGUCGUACUGUCCCGCUUUCCGGGCACGUCGGAUUUGAUAGUUUGCCUGACCAGCUGGUUAAUAAGUCUGUUAAUCAUGGGUUUUGUUUCAACAUCCUGUGUGUGGGGGAAACUGGUCUUGGUAAGUCCACCCUCAUGGACACCCUUUUCAACACCAAGUUUGAAGGUGACCCAGCAUCUCACUCACAGCCUGGUGUCCAGCUGAAAUCCAGUACCUAUGACCUGCAGGAGAGCAAUGUCAACCUCAAGCUGACUAUUGUGAGCACAGUGGGCUUUGGGGAUCAGAUCAACAAAGAGGACAGCUAUAAGCCCAUUGUUGAGUUCAUUGAUGCUCAGUUUGAAGCCUACUUGCAAGAAGAACUGAAGAUAAAGAGAGUCUUGCACAACUACCAUGACACCCGGAUCCACGCUUGCUUGUACUUCAUUGCCCCCACCGGCCAUUCCCUGAAGUCCCUGGACUUGGUAACGAUGAAGAAGCUUGACAGCAAGGUGAACAUCAUUCCUAUCAUUGCCAAAUCUGAUGCCAUUUCCAAGAGUGAGCUGACCAAGUUUAAAAUUAAAAUCACAAGUGAACUGGUCAGUAAUGGGGUGCAGAUCUACCAGUUCCCGACAGAUGAUGAAUCAGUGGCGGAGAUAAAUGGGACAAUGAAUGCCCACUUGCCAUUUGCAGUGAUCGGGAGUACGGAGGAGCUGAAAAUAGGAAACAAAAUGAUGAAAGCUCGUCAGUACCCUUGGGGUACAGUGCAGGUGGAGAACGAAGCUCACUGUGACUUUGUGAAGCUGCGGGAGAUGCUGAUCCGCGUGAACAUGGAAGACCUUCGUGAGCAGACCCACACACGCCACUAUGAGCUCUACAGGCGAUGUAAACUGGAAGAGAUGGGUUUCAAGGACACUGAUCCAGACAGCAAACCCUUCAGCUUACAAGAAACCUACGAAGCCAAAAGAAAUGAGUUUCUGGGAGAACUGCAGAAAAAGGAAGAGGCAAUGAGACAGAUGUUUGUCCAGAGGGUCAAGGAAAAAGAAGCUGAGUUGAAGGAGGCUGAAAAAGAGCUGCAUGAAAAGUUUGAUCGCUUGAAGAAAUUGCAUCAGGAUGAAAAGAAGAAGCUAGAGGAUAAGAAGAAGUCUCUGGAUGAUGAAGUAAAUGCAUUUAAACAAAGGAAGACAGCAGCUGAAUUGCUUCAGUCACAGGCUCAGCAGGCUGGAGGAUCGCAAACUCUUAAAAGGGAUAAGGAAAGGAAAAAUUCGGGUUUCCUGUAGAACCUUUCCCUUGGCCCCAGAGGCGAAUGCCACCCUCGGCUGUGCCGUUGUGCCCGUUCGCUCACCUUCCCCACUGCUCCCCUCCCGCUCACCGCUCGGCCAGGGCAGAGCCCUUGGCUGCCGGCCUUGGGCUCUUGUGAGGGGCCCAGCUGGCAGAGGGGCUCGUGCCAGGCUCCUGCAGCCCUUGGGCAGCAGCAGGGUGCCCACUGCCCCUGUGCCAUCGCUCAGCUUUUCCCUGCUCCGUGCUGCCAGAGCUGCUUGGGGUGCAUUUAGCUCCUGCUGUGGGUGCAGCCUGGUGCUGCCGUGGGGUGGGAUGUGCUCUCUCCACACACUGGCUGCCCUCUCCCCAUGUUCAUUUGCUGUUCCUAAGCCCUCAUUACCCCCUGUGCUGCCAUGUGUGACUCAAAUAACUUUCAAGGACGUUUUGCAAAACUUGACAUCCUCACAGACGUGGGCCUUGAGUCCAAACCUCUAGUUCCCAGGCUUGAGGAAAUCUCAAAUUUGGAUCCAUGGUUUGCAACUAAGUGUUCUCUGAAUGCUGCAGGGGUCAUGAAGGAUUUCUUGCCUGGUCUCCCUCUCAGUGUGCUGACCUGGAUGCACAUCCUGGAUCCAAUCUCAGGGAAAGCUGGUCACCUUGCUGUACAUAUCAGUGUUUCUGAAGAAAGACUAUGCUGUUUCAUUGACUUUCUUCUCAGUGAUUCCAACAAUUUACGGUUUUAAUGCAAAAUUUUUUUUUUUAUUUGACAUCUCUUUAGAACUGUACAGAUGUUGACAAGUUUCUUCUCAUAUUUUCUAUUCAGCAAAAGCCUUGUUUUUAUUGCAAGAUUUGCACUAAAAAGGAGGGUGUUUUGCUCACUGGGCCAGGAGCUCACUCUGCCCAAGUGCAACUGUGGUUUGCCUGCGUCUUCUCUCUGUAUUUCUGGCUGAGUUUUGUUUUUAAAUAAAGAGUUCAUCGGACAGUGAAUUCUGGUUAACAUUUACUUCUUUUGUUUUUUGUUUUCUUUGCCCUUCUUUUACAGUAACCCAUGGCUCUGUACUGAGUAAUUACCCCUGAAUACAAUGGCCUGGAAUGGACCUUUACUUGUUAGAUCGGAGGGUCUAAUAAAACAUGACAGCAUUUCAGCUGUGACCUUUCCAGGGUGUUAUCCUUGCUCUCUUCUAUAUCCUCGUUGUGAUUCUGUCUUUACUAUGUACUGGUGGUUAUUGCUUUUAUUAAACAAUGUAAAAUUAGUCAUAACAAGGUUCUGGAUGCUACAACUUUAAAUCCUACCUUUUUUUUUUUUCCCUACAAUUAAUGGAUUCCUCUUUCUCCUGGUCUCAUUCCACCCAGCUAAAUAAGGGAUAUGGAAAUAAGUUCUCUUUUUUUAAUCUGUCUUCGCCAGCUGCACUGUGUCUGAGGGAGAAGACUGCCACUUCUAGAAGAGUUUAAGGGUCUUAUGUCUGGGGAGGGGGGAACAAAUCUUCAGUGUUAGUGUCUUGGAAAGAAGCUCCUUUACUGACUUGCAUGAUACUUUAAAUUGAAGUGUCUUGUAAUUUGUGUGACAAGACAGGGCGAUGUGGGGGGGACUGAUGACCUGGAAUUUUGAAGAGCAACAGAAAUGUGAUGUUGGGACUAAUGAUGUAGCGAAUACAUUUUCAAAUGUUGUUAUGGGCAUAUGUUUUUUCUAAUGUUGUCUUUAAUAAUAUAAAUGUCACGGGCUUCCCUAAGGUGUGAAGCCUAAGGAAUAUUUUCAAUAUGCUGGUGGUUUGAUUGGUUUUGGAAACCAUGCAUUUGGAGUCAAAGAAAAUACAAACAUGGUGCAACUUGCUCUGUUGGCAGCCACGAAAUAUUUAAUUUUAUCAAAGAAAUAAAGUAAGAACUGUGUGUUCUCA